This 467-nucleotide ribosomal RNA is filed under the name uncultured bacterium. Its description in RNAcentral is "bacterial SSU rRNA". It matches the Rfam family "Bacterial small subunit ribosomal RNA", at positions 328 to 793 of the family's 1533-position model. The record is from RNAcentral.
GACCCAGACUCCUACGGGAGGCAGCAGUGAGGAAUAUUGGUCAAUGGUCGGGAGACUGAACCAGCCAAGCCGCGUGAGGGAUGAAGGUACAGAGUAUCGUAAACCUCUUUUGUCAGGGAACAAAGGCGGGGACGUGUCCCCGGAUGAGUGUACCUGAAGAAAAGGCAUCGGCUAACUCCGUGCCAGCAGCCGCGGUAAUACGGAGGAUGCGAGCGUUAUCCGGAUUUAUUGGGUUUAAAGGGUGCGUAGGCGGACGUUUACGUCGGGGGUAAAACCCGGGGUCUCACCCCCGGCGAGCCGUUGAAACUGGCUGUCUUGAGAUGUCGAGAGGUAUGCGGAAUGUGCAGUGUAGCGGUGAAAUGCUUAGAUAUUGCGCAGAACUCCGAUUGCGAAGGCAGCAUACCGGCGGCGAUCUGACGCUGAGGCACGAAAGCGUGGGUAUCGAACAGGAUUAGAUACCCUAGUAC